RNAcentral lists this ribosomal RNA (425 nucleotides) under uncultured rumen bacterium. Its description in RNAcentral is "bacterial SSU rRNA". It matches the Rfam family "Bacterial small subunit ribosomal RNA", at positions 354 to 776 of the family's 1533-position model. The record is from RNAcentral.
GUGGGGAAUAUUGGUCAAUGGACGGAAGUCUGAACCAGCCAUGUCGCGUGAAGGAGGAAGGUACUAUGUAUUGUAAACUUCUUUUGCCUGGGGGUAAAGUGGGUCACGUGUGGCCUAUUGCAAGUACCAGGCGAAUAAGCAUCGGCUAACUCCGUGCCAGCAGCCGCGGUAAUACGGAGGAUGCGAGCGUUAUCCGGAUUUAUUGGGUUUAAAGGGUGCGUAGGCGGGACGUCAAGUCAGCGGUGAAAUACUGUGGCUCAACCAUAGCAUUGCCGUUGAAACUGGCGACCUUGAGUGCGGCAGAGGUAGGCGGAAUGUGUGGUGUAGCGGUGAAAUGCUUAGAUAUCACACAGAACACCGAUUGCGAAGGCAGCUUACUGGAGCGCAACUGACGCUGAGGCACGAAAGCGUGGGUAUCGAACAGG